This 497-nucleotide ribosomal RNA is filed under the name uncultured bacterium. RNAcentral's name for it is "partial 16S ribosomal RNA". It matches the Rfam family "Bacterial small subunit ribosomal RNA", at positions 28 to 507 of the family's 1533-position model. The record is from RNAcentral.
GAUGAACGCUGGCGGCGUGCCUAAUACAUGCAAGUCGAGCGAACAGACGAGGAGCUUGCUCCUCUGACGUUAGCGGCGGACGGGUGAGUAACACGUGGAUAACCUACCUAUAAGACUGGGAUAACUUCGGGAAACCGGAGCUAAUACCGGAUAAUAUAUUGAACCGCAUGGUUCAAUAGUGAAAGACGGUUUUGCUGUCACUUAUAGAUGGAUCCGCGCCGCAUUAGCUAGUUGGUAAGGUAACGGCUUACCAAGGCAACGAUGCGUAGCCGACCUGAGAGGGUGGACGGCCACACUGGAACUGAGACGCGGUCCAGACUCCUACGGGAGGCAGCAGUAGGGAAUCUUCCGCAAUGGGCGAAAGCCUGACGGGGCAACGCCGCGUGAGUGAUGAAGGUCUUCGGAUCGUAAAACUCUGUUAUUAGGGAAGAACAAAUGUGUAAGUAACUAUGCACGUCUUGACGGUACCUAAUCAGAAAGCCACGGCUAACUACGUG